CCGCACUAACUGGGGAGGUAGCGGUGCCUUGUUACCUGCAAUCCGCUGUAGCAGGGGUGAAUGCUUCUUUGAGGGCCUGGCUGUGUGGCUGCGCCUAUUCCGAAGAUGUUGAAGAACGGGUCUUGCGCGAUCAAAAGCUGUGAACCAUGUCAGGUGGGGGACCAAGCAGCAUUAAGCAGUAUCUUUGAUGUGUUGUGAGGUUGCCUGUUUGGAGUUGGAAGAUAGGUUUCCGCGCGUGGCUUCGGUUCGAUGGAAGCUGUGCGG
Molecule: signal recognition particle RNA, 264 nt
Filed under: Oscillospiraceae bacterium
Lineage: Bacteria; Bacillati; Bacillota; Clostridia; Eubacteriales; Oscillospiraceae
Description: signal recognition particle sRNA large type
Rfam family: Bacterial large signal recognition particle RNA
About the family: The signal recognition particle (SRP) is a universally conserved ribonucleoprotein involved in the co-translational targeting of proteins to membranes. Archaeal SRP consists of a 7S RNA and homologues of the eukaryotic SRP19 and SRP54 proteins.
Source: RNAcentral